Molecule: ribosomal RNA, 882 nt
Filed under: uncultured fungus
Lineage: Eukaryota; Fungi
Description: eukaryotic LSU rRNA
Rfam family: 5.8S ribosomal RNA (bases 433-586)
Source: RNAcentral
UUCUUGGUCAUUUAGAGGAAGUAAAAGUCGUAACAAGGUUUCCGUAGGUGAACCUGCGGAAGGAUCAUUAAAGAAAUUUAAUAAUUUUGAAAAUGGAUUUUUUUGUUUUGGCAAGAGCAUGAGAGCUUUUACUGGGCAAGAAGACAAGAGAUGGAGAGUCCAGCCGGGCCUGCGCUUAAGUGCGCGGUCUUGCUAGGCUUGUAAGUUUCUUUCUUGCUAUUCCAAACGGUGAGAGAUUUCUGUGCUUUUGUUAUAGGACAAUUAAAACCGUUUCAAUACAACACACUGGGGAGUUUUCAUAUCUUUGCAACUUUUUCUUUGGGCAUUCGAGCAAUCGGGGCCCAGAGGUAACAAACACAAACAAUUUUAUCUAUUCAUUAAAUUUUUGUCAAAAACAAGAAUUUUCGUAACUGGAAAUUUUAAAAUAUUAAAAACUUUCAACAACGGAUCUCUUGGUUCACGCAUCGAUGAAGAACGCAGCGAAAUGCGAUACGUAAUGUGAAUUGCAGAAUUCCGUGAAUCAUCGAAUCUUUGAACGCACAUUGCGCCCCUUGGUAUUCCAGGGGGCAUGCCUGUUUGAGCGUCAUUUCCUUCUCAAACAUUCUGUUUGGUAGUGAGUGAUACUCUUUGGAGUUAACUUGAAAUUGCUGGCCUUUUCAUUGGAUGUUUUUUUUCCAAAGAGAGGUUUCUCUGCGUGCUUGAGGUAUAAUGCAAGUACGGUCGUUUUAGGUUUUACCAACUGCGGCUAAUCUUUUUUUAUACUGAGCGUAUUGGAACGUUAUCGAUAAGAAGAGAGCGUCUAGGCGAACAAUGUUCUUAAAGUUUGACCUCAAAUCAGGUAGGAGUACCCGCUGAACUUAAGCAUAUCAAUAAGCGGAGGAA